RNAcentral lists this ribosomal RNA (347 nucleotides) under uncultured eukaryote. RNAcentral's name for it is "SSU rRNA". It matches the Rfam family "Eukaryotic small subunit ribosomal RNA", at positions 594 to 945 of the family's 1831-position model. The record is from RNAcentral.
AUAGCGUAUAUUAAAGUUGUUGUGGUUAAAAAGCUCGUAGUUGGAUCUCAGUUCGAGUCAGGCCGUCCACUUGCCAGUGGCUACUGCCUGACUGAACACUUUACCGAGUUGUCCUAUGGUGUUCUUCACCGAGCGUCAUAGGCGAUCGGUACGUUUACUUUGAAAAAAUUAGAGUGCUCAAAGCAGGCGUAACGCCCGAAUAAUGUUGCAUGGAAUAAUGGAAUAGGACCUCGGUUCUAUUUUGUUGGUCUUCGGAAUCAGAGGUAAUGAUCAAUAGGGACAGACGGGGACAUUCGUAUUGCGGCGCUAGAGGUGAAAUUCUUGGACCGUCGCAAGACGAACUAAAG